Molecule: long non-coding RNA, 5428 nt
Organism: Oncorhynchus tshawytscha (Chinook salmon)
Lineage: Eukaryota; Metazoa; Chordata; Actinopteri; Salmoniformes; Salmonidae
Exons: 8
Source: RefSeq, a predicted model, not a curated record
AUCACUUUAAAAUUCCUUAUUAUUAAGCAAACCAGAGCACCAUUUGCUUGUUUUUUAUUUUAAUUUACAGCUAGCCAGAUGCACACACCAAUACCCAGUUGACUACAUUAAAAUGGUAGAAGCACUCAAUGGUGCUGCCCAUCCUUAAACAGCGUUUUGGUCCCUAGAGGCCUUCACCACAUAGCCUGGUUUCUUCCUAGGUUUUGGCCUUUCUAGGGAGUUUUUCCUAGCCACCGUGCUUCUACACCUGCAUUGCUUGCUGUUUGGGGUUUCUGGCUGGGUUUCUGUACAGCACUUUGAGAUAUCAGCUGAUGUACGAAGGGCUAUAUAAAUCAAUUUGAUUUGGUCAUUAUCUAUGGGUAGGAUACACUUGACUAGCUGCAAAGAAAGGGGGCUAUUGAGGAAGCCUACUUGGUGGCUUUCCACACAACCCCUCAUAAUUGUUCCUCUGUCUUUUUAAAGGGGCCAUUUUGAUUGCUACAUACAUUUGACUUUUAAUUUCAUGACAUAUAGCCAUUGAUUCUUAAAGAUUAUAACUUAGAAAUGCCUCAUGAUCUUAGCUCAACUGUCCAACCCCAUCAACCCAAAGUGUAUGCUUGUUUUACUCAUUUGUGUGUAAACAAUGUGUACUUUUAAACCCUGUAUAGCCUCAACAUUUGUACAAAUGUAAAAAUAUGAGGAAGCCUACUUGGUGGCUUUCCACACAACCCCCUCAUAAUUGUUCCUCUGUCUUUUUAAAGGGGCCAUUUGAUUGCUACAUACAUUUGACUUUUAAUUUCAUGACAUAUGGCCAUGGAUGCAUACAUAGCUCUAUGAAUUCGAGUUGUUACAUUUGUCUAUUCCAAUUCCUCAGCUGUUUACCGAAACAGUGGCGGGGAAGCCUGCUGUGUUAUUGUUUGAACUGCAGAUUGCCUCUUCAAUCGAGAUUCGGUAAUAGACCGUCGCGAGAACACCACAGAGAAGACAACUUUUCCGUCUGCUCUCGUGGAGUCUGAGGUAAGUAAUCUCUGGCCAAUUUUAAUAACAAUCGCUUUAAUGUAGGUUAAAGCCGAAUGGCUAGACUUUUAAGUGGCUCUGUCAUUAGCUAACGGUCGCUUGGAAAUUGAUUUGAGGGCCUUGCUUCUAGCUAGUCUCACACAAAGGUAAUAAGACACGGCCACAAUUUAGCUAUGCUCAAAUAAAACUUCCAAUGUGACUCCAGGUUAAUGCUUCGUGUCAUUGUACGCAUUUUACUCUUAAUUACUGACUUUUCUUCUCACCUUUUUGUUUCAUGGUGGUUACGAAGAUGGACUGUUUUUUUAUCGUUUGGUGAAACGGUAUCUGUGAGAACUGACAACCUCGCCUGUAACCGCGCUCCCUCUGUGGCCCCUUUGACAGUGGUUGUGGUUUGUGUUGUACGGAAUUGAAGCCUGACAGAAAUCUAUCAUGCCUACCUACACUCUGUGGGUUCCCUUGAGUGAUUUCAAGACCGAUAAGCCAUAUUGAAUGACGGCACUGUAAAACUUUAAAUUUCAGUGAUUAGGUUAUAUUUAGUACUGUUAUAACUAGGCUGAAGAGUCUGAUCAGUCUGAUUCACAUGGUCCAAUAAUUUAAGUAUGUCACACAUGGGCAAAUAACACGUUUACCACGUACUACCAAGUACGAUUUUAAGUCUGAUCAAGACAUGACAAAGUGAUGGCAGACGAGCAUUCCUGUCCCCCCUGUGAAUUUAAUGUUGCUUCAAUUUUUCUCCUAGAAAACAGCAGUACACUUCAGAAAUCAUUGACAAUCCUUUCUUCUAGCUUCCCCAAUGAUUCAAAACCUCUGAUAGGUAGUGGAUGGAUGCUGCUGUGAAUGACUGAAUAAAAUGGUGAUAUUAAUCAAUCAAUGUAUACAUGCAGUAACAUGUUGGCUUUGAAUGGAAGGAAAGCUGAUGUGAUGCCCCUUUCUCUCUCUCUCACAAUGUGGGGGUUGUGAUUGUCUGUGGCUGGUGUGCACAAGAUGGUGAAGUUAACACCCAAUCAUGUCAUACCCCAAUUACCUCCAGGUACUACAAUCUGCCAUUGUCACACCAGACUGACCACAGACCUGUAUCACUGAUCAAUUUUUAAAAAUGCAUUCAAAGGAACACCUCAUUCAAAGCAUUGCCAACACCUGCAGUUGGAUAUUUGAUUAGCUGUCAGUGAUGGCGUGAAAUGUUAUAUGUCCAGGUUUCAGCAGGACAAGCAUUGUGCCCCAUCCAUAAGAGAGAGCAGAUUAAGCUUUUCUGUGUGACUUGUGAUCAGCGGACUUGCCGUGAUUACCUCGACUAACCUGUACCAGUUAGCCCAGGAUGCUUUGCCAGAGCAGAGGAAAUGGUUACAGUAUCUAAUGGAGACUUUGAGGACAGAGAGAGUGACCGUGCAACAGGACCUAGAUGGACGGCUGUCUGACUUGGAGGAUCAGCUGGAGAGUGUUGGAGCGGAGGUCAAGGAUAUCCUCAAGGGCAUCUGGAGUGUCCUGGUGAAGAGAGCCAUGCAGCUUUCCAAGGAAAUGCAGCUUUAGGUCAGUGUCCCCAACUGCACUCAGGAAGAUGACAUUGACCUCACCCUUCACCUAGCAAUGAACUCUGCUCUCCUAUAGAGGAGUGUGAUGACCGUAUGGAUGAUUUUCAUGUCGGUGCUGCUGACAGUAUUGAAGAGACUGGGUGCCAGGUGUCUGUUGGGCUUAAUAGCAGGUGUCUUUGCUUCGGAUACCCAUCCUUGGUGCCCCGCCAACCCGCUUCUGCCGCCUCCCAGGUGUCAAAGGGCAGGAAACUGUCGUUCAGUCAGAGUCUCCUUGCUCCUCUAUGUUGAGCCCAGACAGUCUUGAGGCACACCCCGUGCAGCUACGACCCCCUCCUGGCCAGGAGGAAGCUCACCCCUGUGUGUCACGUGUGGACGCCGCUUCCACAGGAAGUGUCACAUUCUGCCCAUCUAUGCCUUAUCCACCACGUAAGCUUGUUUUAAUUAACCAAGUUAAUUGCAUUCUGAAUGAACAUGGAGUAUAUAUUUUUUCAGCCCUGAAUUCAGGUAAUGUGCAAUUUCUGUUCAUGAACAGAAUUGUUAUCUGAACCCUCUGCAAAGUGCGCCUACAUUGUCUGUCUGCAUAAAGCAGCAACAUUUGUACAGUAGGCUCCCCUACUGAUGCUGUUCUAAUGUCUCCACCCCAUGAACUGUUAAGUGUGAUUCUCAGCAAAAUUACCUAUCUAUUACUUCAAUAAUUGAUGUCUUAUUUCAAUCUGUAUUGUUUAAGGACCUCUGAAAAUGUGGGCCCCUGUGUGGAAAGAUGUUUCACUGUGGGCCCAAAUAAAGCAUUGAGAUUUGUCUGUCUCUGUAUUGGCCAGAUGUGUGUGUGUGUGUGUGUGUGUGUGUGUGUGUGUGUGUGUGUGUGAUGCUGCUCUCCCUGUGAGUGCUGGCAGUGUCGGCUGUGCCGGGACCUCUGAUCUAGCGUUGCUGCAGGACUACAGUAGGACUGACAAAGAACUGUGUAUGAGCUUUCCUGACCAAAUGGUGAGCCUUUUUUACUUCGCAGAGCAUGUCUGGGCACGUCUGCUACCUUUCACCUGGAAUAUGCGCAUCUGGGUACAUACGACUGCAUGCCCAGUUCUGUCUACGCAUGUGUGGUAUUGUUUGCUGUGUCCGCAUCUAGUACUUAUUGACCCUGAUCCUAUUUUAGUGGAGAUGGUCUGUUUUUAGAUCCAGGGAAUCAUUUUUGAAUUGAAAAAGACAAGGGUAGAAUCAAAAUGUAAACCAUGUAUUUCUGAUGUGACCGGAUCUUGAUUGGUUAUUUUAACUCACUCAUCCAAAGUUUUUUUUUUUUUUUGUCUGGCCAUUAAAUCACCAUUGCUUCUGUUAGUUUUCCCACUCCAAGGUGCUUGUUUGUCCAGUGUAGUCUACAGCAGUGUUUCUAACUCCAGUUUGCCCAACAGCACACAUUUGUGUUGUUGCCCCAAACAAACUCACCUGAUUCAACUCAUUGAGGGCCUGAUGAUUAGUUGACUCGGGUGUGCUUGUCCAGGGCUACAACAAAUAUUUGUGCUGUUUGGGGUACUGGAAGACUGGAGUUGGGAAACACUGGUGUGUGUGAACCAUCGCUUACCCUUUGGGCUCGACCCUACAGAGAUGUGAGCGCCUACUGCUUGUCCUUUCAUGCAAAAAGUACAGCAUUGUCCUCUACAGACCAGGAAAGGUAAUCGACAAGUGUAACUUAACGCAUUUAUGCAUACAUAUCCUUAGCAUCCCUCUUUUAGUAUUUCCAUAGAUAGUGUUGGCUAUUAAAAUGUCACACAUAAUCACAAGACUUUGAAUAUCGAUGUGAAUUUAAUGUUAAUAAAGAAUGUUGGUGAUGGUGUUCACUGGAAUGUUUAUUGCCAAAUACGUUGCUGACAAAUGACUGGUCCCUUUAAUGAAGAAUGACUUCAAUUGUGUGUGUCAGAUAUACUGUAUACAAUUGCAGUUUGAUGUUAGUCCGUUGUCUUGACUAGAGAAAUAUUGUAUUUUGACUCUCCCUCUCCUUAGCUCUCUUAACAUCGUCCUGAUACGGGGACUGUUGCUGCGGAAACUGCCCCCUCCCCUCACCGCACCCAGUCAGAAUUUGUGUCCAAUGUCUGGCUUCUCCACACACUGUUGAAGAGCGUGAAGUAUUCCAAGUCAGUGGACCGAUUUGAGGCAUGUUUCGGGAGGGAGCUGGUCAAAACGCUUGUGGGGAUCCUGCACCCUUCGCUGCUCGUCAACCCCCACCAAGGGGAAGCGGAGAGGAGUGCAGAACAAGAGGGGGGCAAGGAGAAAGUGUCCAUGAGGAGAAUCCAAGGCCUCUAGAGGAGCACGCAGGCAGAGUUCUUUCACACAGGACUCGAUGAAAGCUGGAGAAUGGCAGCAGAAGGCCGUAUUUGUGUAUUUAAUUUGGUCUUUGAAUUCCUUGGUGAACAUAUUUGUACAUAGUUGCAGCCAAAUAUUGGCACCCUUGCACUUUUUUUUCCUUUAAAAAAAAAAAUUUCUUCUAAAAUAACUUGAAAUUUGGAAAAACCUUUGGUAUCUACACCUUACUGUAUUUUCAACAUUACAGACCCAAUUUACCCAAUUGGUAAAUUUAAGUUUACAAUUUGGCAUGUACAAAAUGAUUGGCAAGUACUUGGUUGCAUAGCCUUUGGCCAAGAACUACAGACAAAUGCUUCUUGUAGGCAUCAGUAAGGUGGCUGCAUCUUAUUACUGGUGAUUUUACUCAGCCUUCAGAAGCAAACUGCUCUAAUUCUUUAAUGUUUGAGGGGUGCCCUCCACCAACUGCUGUUGUCAGCUCUCGCCAUAGGUUAUGGAUGUGGCAACUGCUCGGCCUCGUUCCUGCCAUCCAGGACCUCCUAUACCAGGCGGUGUCAGAGGAGGCCCUAAAAAUUGUCAGACUCCAGCCACCCUAGUCAUAGACUGUUCUCUCU